This is a long non-coding RNA of Cebus imitator (Panamanian white-faced capuchin), 604 nucleotides long. RefSeq lists it as uncharacterized. NCBI's taxonomy places the organism in Eukaryota, Metazoa, Chordata, Mammalia, Primates, Cebidae. The transcript has 3 exons. The record is from RefSeq and is a predicted model, not a curated record.
UUCACGCCAACACCGGUAUUUUCUUGGCGCGCCUCAAGCCCUCUCUGCGUGACUUGUUAACCCGCCGAAGCCACCCGGGACCCCAAAAGCACGAGCCUGGCGCCUCCUAUUCCACGCGGAAGUGCCCGAGUGACCCUGUGAAGGACCUCCCUCCCCUCACACACGCACAUACACAAGCCCAUGUGGGAGCCCGAGUGACGUGCUCGGUGGUCGUGCACCAUCAUUUCCCUUCCACCUUCCUCCCCGCCGCUUCCUCUCCCUCCACCGCGCAGCUCCACCGCCCCGCCACUGCCGCAUCCCCUUCCAAGUUCAGACUGUGGGUGGAACCUGUUGCUUUAGCUCGAGUUUCCUUUCCCCUCUGGGCUGCACACUGAGGAUGACCUCAGCGAGAUAACUGAGUCAAAGAAACCUAUGCUGGCGUUUUCGAAAACACACGGGCUUCCUGAGUCUGUCAGCUCAUCUUUGGAAGAAGGUUCUGUGAAAAGAAAAAUACCAACACUUGGAAAGACACGGAUGCGUCACAGAGCGCCUACUAAGGAUUUCCUGUGAACCAACCAUUCUGACCUUAGAGACGGGGUUUCACCAUGUUGACCAGGAUGGUCUC